GACGAACGCUGGCGGCGUGCUUAACACAUGCAAGUCGAACGGUGAAGCGCCUUCCUUUUUGGUGGGUGUGGAUGAGUGGCGAACGGGUGAGUAACACGUGAGUAACCUGCCCCCUUCUUCUGGAUAACCGCAUGAAAGUGUGGCUAAUACGGGAUAUUCUGGGUCUGUCGCAUGAUGGGUCUGGGAAAGAUAUUGUUUCGGUGGGGGAUGGGCUCGCGGCCUAUCAGCUUGUUGGUGGGGUGAUGGCCUACCAAGGCGGUGACGGGUAGCCGGCCUGAGAGGGUGGACGGUCACACUGGGACUGAGACACGGCCCAGACUCCUACGGGAGGCAGCAGUGGGGAAUAUUGCACAAUGGGCGCAAGCCUGAUGCAGCGACGCCGCGUGAGGGAUGGAGGCCUGCUGGUGGUGAACCUCUUUCGCCAGUGAAGCAGGCCUGCCUCGUUUGUGGGUGGGUUGACGGUAGCUGGAUAAGAAGCGCCGGCUAACUACGUG
RNAcentral lists this ribosomal RNA (494 nucleotides) under uncultured bacterium. Its description in RNAcentral is "partial 16S ribosomal RNA". It matches the Rfam family "Bacterial small subunit ribosomal RNA", at positions 28 to 507 of the family's 1533-position model. The record is from RNAcentral.